Molecule: transfer RNA, 76 nt
Filed under: Sphingomonadaceae bacterium
Lineage: Bacteria; Pseudomonadati; Pseudomonadota; Alphaproteobacteria; Sphingomonadales; Sphingomonadaceae
Also listed under: 2 other names
Description: tRNA-Lys
Rfam family: tRNA
About the family: Transfer RNA (tRNA) molecules are approximately 80 nucleotides in length. Their secondary structure includes four short double-helical elements and three loops (D, anti-codon, and T loops).
Source: RNAcentral
GGAUCGGUAGCUCAGUUGGUAGAGCGUUCGACUCUUAAUCGAAUGGUCCUCGGUUCGAACCCGAGCCGAUCCACCA